Molecule: long non-coding RNA, 1476 nt
Filed under: Theobroma cacao (cacao)
Lineage: Eukaryota; Viridiplantae; Streptophyta; Magnoliopsida; Malvales; Malvaceae
Description: long non-coding RNA (TCAC_LNC005492)
Source: RNAcentral
UUCAUUUCACCUCCAUGAAAAUCAAUUUUUUUUCAUUUGAUUUUCCUUGUUUUCAUUUCAUUUCCUUUCUUUUCUUACUUCUUUCUUCUCCUAACGUCUUGGGCACCAAACCUGCAGCUUCUAACCCCAUUUUCUAGUACAACCAAACCCUAGGAGAGAGAAGGAAAAAAUCUCUCUUUCUUUCCUUUAUUUUCUAUUUCUACUCCACCAUCACCGACACUUGAAUUUUCAACUUUAAAUCUCCAUUUUUUAGGCUAAAAGGUAUAUAAUUUUAACUCCUGGAAUUUAUGAAUUUAUGGGUUAUAUUUUCAGAUUUUAUUUCCUAAUUUCUUCAAAUUCUUUUUCUUGGAAAUAUUAGGUUUUUGUUGAUCUUUAUGCCUCCAAGCUCACCAAGGUGAAGAACCUUUAAAUUGGAAUAGUUGAUAUGAUGGGUUUGAGAAUUAGACUAGAAUUCUAGGUUAAAAAUUAGGCUAGAAUGUAGUUUAUCAAGAGUAUGCUUAAUAGAAUUAUUAAGGUUAAGUUUAUGAUAUAUUUGAAGCUAUUAUUGUUUAUUGGCAAUUAUAGGUUUUAAUGGUAUUUCGGGACUACCCGGAUUAAGAUCUUGUGGGUGCUAGUCUUGUUAAGUGGCAUUGUUAAGGUGAGUGAACUUACAUUAAAUUAUUUUUGGGGAAAUACAUAUGUGUUGGGAUAUAGCACUUGAAUGAUUUUAUUUGAUUUUUUUCUCUAAAUCAUGCCUUGGAACAAGCUCUUGAUGAAACAUUUUAUGUUGUAAAAUGUGUAAUGUGAUGAACCCAUGUGUUCCUAUAUUCUGAUGAUAUAUAUUUUAUGCUUUGAAUGAUAAUAUUGUAUGAUGAUUGUAACCACACAUGUGCGGUGUGGGAGUGCACAUGCCGGUGAUGACGGGUGAUUCCAGCUAUGUGUGGUGUGGGAGUGCACAUGAGCUGAUGACUGGUGGAUGAUGAUUCCAGCUAUGUGCGGUGUGGGUGUGCACAUGAGCUGAUGAUCGGUGGAUGAUGAUUUCAGCUAUGUGUGGUGUAGGAGUGCACAUGAUCUAAUGAGCUAGUGGUUGUAUACAUGUUUACACAUAGCAUAGAAAUGUUAGAGAAAAAUUAUGUGAUUGCACUGAAUGUUAAAUGUUGAAAUUGUUAAUUGUUUCCAAAUUGAUUUUCAAUACAACGAAAAAAAAAGACUCUCUGUCUUGCUUGUCUUGCUCAAAUAUUUACUGUGGUUUUCACUUUUUGAUUUCAUAAUGCAUCAUGGAUCCUUCAACACUAAGCGGUUAAAUAAUCAAAGGUCGAAUUGAGGGGUUUUAUGAGGAAUUAAACUAAAUUGCAUUGUUUUUAACAUAAGUGCAUUGUGAUUUCUAAACUUUCCUUAUCGUUUGCUUGUUCCCUUCCUAUGUUCACUCACUGGGUUUAUACUCAUUCUUUUCAACUUUAUGUUUUAGUUUUCAGGCUCAAAGGUAGUUGGAUCCUA